Molecule: unclassified non-coding RNA, 424 nt
Filed under: Hevea brasiliensis (rubber tree)
Lineage: Eukaryota; Viridiplantae; Streptophyta; Magnoliopsida; Malpighiales; Euphorbiaceae
Source: RNAcentral
GGCAAAAGAGGGUUGAGCUUGCAAGUUUGAAACAAAAAAUGGGCAUUCCUAAUACAAUUUUGAGAAAAUUCCCUCUUGCAUUAUUUGCUCUAUUUAUACUUCUCUACACAAAUCGCUGUCGAGCUGCUCUUCUUGCCAAGAGCAACAACACUUUCCAUUGCAAUGGCCGAGAUGAUUGCUUCAUCUCGGACGACUUGGAAUUGGAGUCGUUUAUGGAGUCCUACGCUAGCAUUUAUAGUAGCCGAAUGCUUGCCGCUAAUGUUAAAAUUGGAGUUAUCCCGCAGGAUAGCAGUGAUACGCCAAAAGUUUGCCCAAACUCACCGCAGUAUUGCUAUCCUCCAAGGACUCCAGAAAGAUGCAAGCAGUCAUACAACAGAAACUGCUAGCUCUUAAUUAUGAAGAACAAGGUAGAAGCCAGCCAUUC